Molecule: ribosomal RNA, 866 nt
Filed under: uncultured bacterium
Lineage: Bacteria
Description: bacterial SSU rRNA
Rfam family: Bacterial small subunit ribosomal RNA
Source: RNAcentral
AGAGUUUGAUCCUGGCUCAGGAUGAACGCUGGCGGCGUGCCUAAUACAUGCAAGUCGAACGAGAGCCCUGGUUUCGACUGGGGUGAGAGUGGCGAACGGGUGAGUAACACAUGGCUGACCUGCCCCUCAGAGGGGGACAACCGCUGGAAACGGUGGCUAAUACCCCAUACGCUCGUCCGGGUUAGAGGCUGGAUGAGGAAAGGCGCUAGUGCUGAGGGAGGGGGCUGUGGCCCAUCAGCUAGUUGGUAGGGUAACGGCCUACCAAGGCGAGGACGGGUAGGGGACCUGAGAGGGUGACCCCCCACACGGGCACUGAGAGACGGGCCCGACUCCUACGGGAGGCAGCAGUAAGGGAUAUUGCGCCAAUGGGCGAAAGCCUGACGCAGCAACGCCGCGUGCGGGAUGACGGCCUUCGGGUUGUAAACCGCUUUUCCGGGGGAAGAGGGAGGACGGUACCCUGGGAAUAAGUCUCGGCUAACUACGUGCCAGCAGCCGCGGUAAAACGUAGGAGGCGAGCGUUAUCCGGAUUUACUGGGUGUAAAGCGCGUGCAGGCGGUUUAGCAAGUCGUGCGUGAAAGCGCUCUGGCUCAACCGGGCGAGGACGUGCGGAACUGCUGAACUAUAGGCAGGUAGAAGGCGUGUGGAAUUCCGGGUGUAGUGGUGAAAUGCGUAUAGAUCCGGAAGAACACCCGUGGUGAAUGCUAUGCGCUGGGCCUGACCCUGACUCUACAACUCAACAUCAUGGGCAAGCGCAAGGGAUUACUUUCCCCCGCAGCCCCUCCCCCAAUCUAGCCGACCAGGCGCGGCGGGAACACUCCCCUUUGCCUAAUCCUAGAUCUUUAUUCCUUCCACGUGGGGGUACGGCC